Molecule: unclassified non-coding RNA, 346 nt
Filed under: Hevea brasiliensis (rubber tree)
Lineage: Eukaryota; Viridiplantae; Streptophyta; Magnoliopsida; Malpighiales; Euphorbiaceae
Source: RNAcentral
GCCACCUUCCACUCUCAUCGCAAGUCAGCUAUUUCCCAAUGCCUUCAUCAGCAACGCUUUUUUUUUUUUCCCCUAAACUCAUCUACGCAAGCAAAAAUUAGUUCUUUAGGAGAAACGGAUUGUUCUGUAAGUGACAAAGCUUGACUUCCAACAAGUAUAUUGCUACAUUAUAUUUAGCAAUUGCAUAGGUGUGCCCUGUAUAUCAACAUCUAUAUUCCAUCUAAACACAAUAACUUAUGAAUAGUUGUCACAACCUGUUAGCAAUUGGGUAGGAGUGCCCUAUAUAUCAACAUCUAUAUUUCACAUAAACAUGAUCCCUUCUAAAAGUUGUUUCAACCUGCUCUCU